Molecule: ribosomal RNA, 169 nt
Filed under: uncultured bacterium
Lineage: Bacteria
Description: partial 16S ribosomal RNA
Rfam family: Bacterial small subunit ribosomal RNA
Source: RNAcentral
CCUACGGGAGGCAGCAGUGGGGAAUAUUGCACAAUGGGCGAAAGCCUGAUGCAGCAACGCCGCGUGAGUGAUGACGGCCUUCGGGUUGUAAAGCUCUGUCUUUUGGGACGAUAAUGACGGUACCAAAGGAGGAAGCCACGGCUAACUACGUGCCAGCAGCCGCGGUAAU